CUAUAAUGCAGUCGACGACUCUGGUAUUGAUUGGUGCUUGCAUCAUGAUUUACAUUUGAGUGAGUGGCGAACUGGUGAGUAACACGUGGGAAACCUGCCCAGAAGCGGGGGAUAACACCUGGAAACAGAUGCUAAUACCGCAUAACAACUUGGACCGCAUGGUCCGAGUUUGAAAGAUGGCUUCGGCUAUCACUUUUGGAUGGUCCCGCGGCGUAUUAGCUAGAUGGUGGGGUAACGGCUCACCAUGGCAAUGAUACGUAGCCGACCUGAGAGGGUAAUCGGCCACAUUGGGACUGAGACACGGCCCAAACUCCUACGGGAGGCAGCAGUAGGGAAUCUUCCACAAUGGACGAAAGUCUGAUGGAGCAACGCCGCGUGAGUGAAGAAGGGUUUCGGCUCGUAAAACUCUGUUGUUAAAGAAGAACAUAUCUGAGAGUAACUGUUCAGGUAUUGACGGUAUUUAACCAGAAAGCCACGGCUAACUACGUGCCAGCAGCCGCGGUAAUACGUAGGUGGCAAGCGUUGUCCGGAUUUAUUGGGCGUAAAGCGAGCGCAGGCGGUUUUUUAAGUCUGAUGU
RNAcentral lists this ribosomal RNA (577 nucleotides) under Lactiplantibacillus pentosus. RNAcentral describes it as "bacterial SSU rRNA". It matches the Rfam family "Bacterial small subunit ribosomal RNA", at positions 51 to 595 of the family's 1533-position model. Lineage: Bacteria; Bacillati; Bacillota; Bacilli; Lactobacillales; Lactobacillaceae. The record is from RNAcentral.